This 253-nucleotide ribosomal RNA is filed under the name uncultured bacterium. RNAcentral's name for it is "partial 16S ribosomal RNA". It matches the Rfam family "Bacterial small subunit ribosomal RNA", at positions 524 to 776 of the family's 1533-position model. The record is from RNAcentral.
UACGUAGGGGGCAAGCGUUAUCCGGAUUUACUGGGUGUAAAGGGAGCGUAGACGGUGAUGCAAGCCAGAUGUGAAAGCCCGGGGCUCAACCCCGGGACUGCAUUUGGAACUGUAUAGCUAGAGUGUCGGAGAGGCAGGCGGAAUUCCUAGUGUAGCGGUGAAAUGCGUAGAUAUUAGGAGGAACACCAGUGGCGAAGGCGGCCUGCUGGACGAUGACUGACGUUGAGGCUCGAAAGCGUGGGGAGCAAACAGG